ACAAGUCUUGCCGUCCCCGUGUCGAUGCCUGCACCGCAUGGGGCGACAUUUGUCCCGUGUGCACGUUCGCUCUGCACACGACACUUCUGCGAAUCCUCUGACGUAUCAUGAUCACUUGCAACACAAA
RNAcentral lists this unclassified non-coding RNA (127 nucleotides) under uncultured fungus. RNAcentral's name for it is "sequence contains ITS1". The record is from RNAcentral. Lineage: Eukaryota; Fungi.